GGGUCAGUAGGUUGGUCGUGCCACCGGUACGUACUGGUCUCACUGAUUCCUCCUUCCUGAAGAACCGUAAUGCCAUUAAUUUGGUGUUGCGGGGAAACAGGACUGUUACCUUGAAAAAAUUAGAGUGAUUAAAGCAAGCUAACGCUUGAAUACAUUAGCAUGGAAUAAUGAAAUAGGACGAUCGAUCCUAUUUUGUUUGUUUCUAUGAUUGACGUA
RNAcentral lists this ribosomal RNA (216 nucleotides) under Glomeromycotina sp. RNAcentral's name for it is "partial small subunit ribosomal RNA". The stretch from base 40 to 216 matches the Rfam family "Eukaryotic small subunit ribosomal RNA", at positions 686 to 864 of the family's 1831-position model. The record is from RNAcentral. Lineage: Eukaryota; Fungi; Glomeromycota.